UUCCGCCAUAGUGGGUGAUAGCCCCGUAUUUGAAAUCUUAACCAUGGUACUAAGUAUACGAGAAGUAGGGCGGGACACGUGAAAUCCUGUCUGAAUAUGGGGGGACCAUCCUCCAAGGCUAAAUACUCAUCAUCGACCGAUAGUGAACCAGUACCGUGAGGGAAAGGCGAAAAGAACCCCGGAAGGGGAGUGAAAUAGAACCUGAAACCUGAUGCAUACAUACAGUGGGAGCAUCUUUGUGGUGUGACUGCGUACCUUUUGUAUCUGUCUCUUAUACACAUCU
RNAcentral lists this ribosomal RNA (283 nucleotides) under Kingella kingae. RNAcentral's name for it is "partial 23S ribosomal RNA". It matches the Rfam family "Bacterial large subunit ribosomal RNA", at positions 350 to 633 of the family's 2925-position model. Lineage: Bacteria; Pseudomonadati; Pseudomonadota; Betaproteobacteria; Neisseriales; Neisseriaceae. The record is from RNAcentral.